RNAcentral lists this ribosomal RNA (242 nucleotides) under uncultured Achromobacter sp. RNAcentral's name for it is "partial 16S ribosomal RNA". It matches the Rfam family "Bacterial small subunit ribosomal RNA", at positions 94 to 339 of the family's 1533-position model. Lineage: Bacteria; Pseudomonadati; Pseudomonadota; Betaproteobacteria; Burkholderiales; Alcaligenaceae. The record is from RNAcentral.
AGUGGCGAACGGGUGAGUAAUGUAUCGGAACGUGCCUAGUAGCGGGGGAUAACUACGCGAAAGCGUAGCUAAUACCGCAUACGCCCUACGGGGGAAAGCAGGGGAUCGCAAGACCUUGCACUAUUAGAGCGGCCGAUAUCGGAUUAGCUAGUUGGUGGGGUAACGGCUCACCAAGGCGACGAUCCGUAGCUGGUUUGAGAGGACGACCAGCCACACUGGGACUGAGACACGGCCCAGACUCC